RNAcentral lists this long non-coding RNA (246 nucleotides) under Elaeis guineensis (African oil palm). RNAcentral describes it as "long non-coding RNA (EGUI_LNC055967)". The record is from RNAcentral. Lineage: Eukaryota; Viridiplantae; Streptophyta; Magnoliopsida; Arecales; Arecaceae.
GCCAUUAUUUUUUGUAUUCCUUCGAGUUAGUUUCCUGUGACCUCUCGCCCCUCCUCCUGUCCGUCUUCAUCGGGGUCUUUAGAGCCCUCAUUCGAGGCUACUCGAAAUAUCAUCCGGUUCUUCCGCUCCCUGCAGUUUCGGGAGUUCUUCCGCCUCAAACCCCCAGGUCCCUUGCUCUGUAGACGAACCUGCGUCUGGGGCUGGGCCCCGUCCAGUUUUUGCACCGGGCGCCAUUCCAUGUUCCCU